This is an RNA transcript of Rhododendron vialii, 824 nucleotides long. It is a transcript of the gene named extensin-like, with no coding region annotated. The transcript is spliced from 4 exons. NCBI's taxonomy places the organism in Eukaryota, Viridiplantae, Streptophyta, Magnoliopsida, Ericales, Ericaceae. The record is from RefSeq and is a predicted model, not a curated record.
UCUCUCUCUCUCUCUCUAUAUGCAGAGCACUGCAUUCCUUCUCUCUCCAGUCUCCAUCAAUUCCUCCAAGGCUUUGUCACCGUACCACCACAUUGACGCUCAAUCCCAUGCCUACGCCGCCGCAUUCGAGAUCGCUCGUUUUAGCCGCCUCCAUUAACGGCCUCUCUGGCUCCUCUCUUCGCCAGUUUCCGUUAACUCGUUUCUCUUCGCCUUCCUCGUCGUCGUCGAACUACUUCAUUUCUACUCCGCAUCCCGUUCCCGAUCGCGAACUGCGUGGCAUUGAACCGAUACCCACAACGGUCACACCCACACCCGAAACCCCUCACAGACGAAACCCCCUCCUCUCUCCCUCUCCCUCUCCCUCUCCCAUGGAAACGAAGACUCCAAACUUCCAUCCACCACCUCUGCUAAUGGCGGCCAUGCAUCCUCUAUCCGCGCCACCGGCGGGGAGGCCGGCGCUGCGAGUUCGUUCGCCUCGGCCAAGGACUGGAAGAGUUAGGCAUAGCUGUUUGGAUAGGUGGUUUUCUUUUGACGUAAACAUUGUUCUACAAUGGAAUUUCAGAAAUCUUGAAGGAAUCUGGAUGGGGAGGAAAAGAGGGAGAGAGAGAAGGAGAAGAAGACGGCGACGACGCAGCCAAUAUUUUUAGGGGUCGAUUCUGACUUUGCACUCCAUGUCGCCGAAUCCGUGGGUUUCUAUGUAUUUCCUCCUCUCCGUAAAAACACAGAAUGAUACAUGAUGUCUGUUCCCUGUCGGACGAAAAUAGGGCAGGUUGGCACCUCUCUCUAUCACGAAAGCUCUAUUGUUAUUGGGUGAUGCAGAUCAA